AGCGGCGAAAGGGUGAGUAACACGUGGCUACCUACCUCAAAGUGGGGGAUAACCCCGAGAAAUCGGAGCUAAUACCGCAUGUGGUCGGGAGACCAAAGCUGGGGAUCCGUAAGGACCUGGCGCUAUGAGAUGGGGCUGCGGCCUAUCAGCUAGUUGGUGUGGUAACGGCACACCAAGGCAAUGACGGGUAGCUGGUCUGAGAGGACGACCAGCCACACUGGAACUGAGACACGGUCCAGACACCUACGGGUGGCAGCAGUCGAGGAUUUUUCACAAUGGGGGAAACCCUGAUGGAGCGACGCCGCGUGGGGGAUGAAGGUCUUCGGAUUGUAAACCCCUGUCAUCCGGGAACAAUGGUUGCGACCUAACAUGUCGCAAUUUGAUAGUACCGGAAGAGGAAGCCGUGGCUAACUCUGUGCCAGCAGCCGCGGUAAUACAGAGACGGCAAGCGUUGCUCGGAUUCAUUGGGCGUAAAGGGUCCGCAGGCGGU
RNAcentral lists this ribosomal RNA (490 nucleotides) under uncultured bacterium. Its description in RNAcentral is "bacterial SSU rRNA". It matches the Rfam family "Bacterial small subunit ribosomal RNA", at positions 94 to 579 of the family's 1533-position model. The record is from RNAcentral.